RNAcentral lists this ribosomal RNA (557 nucleotides) under Novosphingobium sp. HRRP156. RNAcentral's name for it is "bacterial SSU rRNA". It matches the Rfam family "Bacterial small subunit ribosomal RNA", at positions 102 to 694 of the family's 1533-position model. The record is from RNAcentral. Lineage: Bacteria; Pseudomonadati; Pseudomonadota; Alphaproteobacteria; Sphingomonadales; Sphingomonadaceae.
ACGGGUGCGUAACGCGUGGGAAUCUGCCCUUGGGUUCGGAAUAACAGUGAGAAAUUACUGCUAAUACCGGAUGAUGUCUUCGGACCAAAGAUUUAUCGCCCAGGGAUGAGCCCGCGUAGGAUUAGGUAGUUGGUGGGGUAAUGGCCUACCAAGCCGACGAUCCUUAGCUGGUCUGAGAGGAUGAUCAGCCACACUGGGACUGAGACACGGCCCAGACUCCUACGGGAGGCAGCAGUGGGGAAUAUUGGACAAUGGGCGAAAGCCUGAUCCAGCAAUGCCGCGUGAGUGAUGAAGGCCUUAGGGUUGUAAAGCUCUUUUACCAGGGAUGAUAAUGACAGUACCUGGAGAAUAAGCUCCGGCUAACUCCGUGCCAGCAGCCGCGGUAAUACGGAGGGAGCUAGCGUUGUUCGGAAUUACUGGGCGUAAAGCGCGCGUAGGCGGUUACUCAAGUCAGAGGUGAAAGCCCGGGGCUCAACCCCGGAACUGCCUUUGAAACUAGGUGACUAGAAUCUUGGAGAGGUCAGUGGAAUUCCGAGUGUAGAGGUGAAAUUCGUAGA